Molecule: ribosomal RNA, 451 nt
Filed under: uncultured bacterium
Lineage: Bacteria
Description: partial 16S ribosomal RNA
Rfam family: Bacterial small subunit ribosomal RNA
Source: RNAcentral
GUGGGGAAUAUUGGACAAUGGGGGGAACCCUGAUCCAGCCAUGCCGCGUGUGUGAAGAAGGCCUUUUGGUUGUAAAGCACUUUAAGCGAGGAGGAGGCUACCGAGAUUAAUACUCUUGGAUAGUGGACGUUACUCGCAGAAUAAGCACCGGCUAACUCUGUGCCAGCAGCCGCGGUAAUACAGAGGGUGCAAGCGUUAAUCGGAUUUACUGGGCGUAAAGCGCGCGUAGGUGGCCAAUUAAGUCAAAUGUGAAAUCCCCGAGCUUAACUUGGGAAUGGCAUUCGAUACUGGUUGGCUAGAGUAUGGGAGAGGAUGGUAGAAUUCCAGGUGUAGCGGUGAAAUGCGUAGAGAUCUGGAGGAAUACCGAUGGCGAAGGCAGCCAUCUGGCCUAAUACUGACACUGAGGUGCGAAAGCGUGGGGAGCAAACAGGAUUAGAAACCCUGGUAGUCC